Molecule: long non-coding RNA, 354 nt
Organism: Euleptes europaea (tarantolino)
Lineage: Eukaryota; Metazoa; Chordata; Lepidosauria; Squamata; Sphaerodactylidae
Exons: 3
Source: RefSeq, a predicted model, not a curated record
GGGCCCCGCCUUCUUAACCUGGACCCCCGAGGAAGUGGCUGACUGGAUAGGAUUGUUGGGCUUCCCCGAAUAUAAGGAAUGCUUUACUGAAAACUUUAUCUCUGGACGGAAGCUCAUCCAUGUAAACUGUUCAAAUCUGCCACAGAUUGGGAUAACUAAUUUUGAGCAUAUGAAGGAAAUUUCCCGUCAUGUCCGACAACUGCUGGAAAUAGAGGAGCCUUUGUUUUCCAGAAGCAUCGCUCUCCCCUACAGAGAUAACAUGGGAUUAUUUCUCGAACAAAAAUCUCGGACAGGAAAACGAAGCGAUGCUCUCACCUAUUCUAAGUUUAUCCAGGAUGCACAUUUAAAGACAUA